UGGGGAAUUUUGGACAAUGGGGGAAACCCUGAUCCAGCCAUCCCGCGUGUGCGAUGAAGGCCUUCGGGUUGUAAAGCACUUUUGGCAGGUAAGAAACGUCAUGGGUUAAUACCCCGUGAAACUGACGGUACCUGCAGAAUAAGCACCGGCUAACUACGUGCCAGCAGCCGCGGUAAUACGUAGGGUGCAAGCGUUAAUCGGAAUUACUGGGCGUAAAGCGUGCGCAGGCGGUUCGGAAAGAAAGAUGUGAAAUUUCAGAGCUCAACUUUGGAACUGCAUUUUUAACUACCGGGCUAGAGUGUGUCAGAGGGAGGUGGAAUUCCGCGUGUAGCAGUGAAAUGCGUAGAUAUGCGGAGGAACACCGAUGGCGAAGGCAGCCUCCUGGGAUAACACUGACGCUCAUGCACGAAAGCGUGGGGAGCAAACAGG
This 429-nucleotide ribosomal RNA is filed under the name Acidobacteriota bacterium. Its description in RNAcentral is "Acidobacteria bacterium partial 16S ribosomal RNA". It matches the Rfam family "Bacterial small subunit ribosomal RNA", at positions 355 to 776 of the family's 1533-position model. Lineage: Bacteria; Pseudomonadati; Acidobacteriota. The record is from RNAcentral.